AGCGGGAAAAGCUCAAAUUUAAAAUCUGGCAGACUUUGUCUGUCCGAGUUGUAACCUAGAGAAGUGUAACCUGUGCUGGACCAUGUACAAGUCUCCUGGAAUGGAGCAUCACAGAGGGUGAGAAUCCCGUCUUUGACAUGGACUACCAGUACACUGUGGUUGCACACUCAACGAGUCGAGUUGUUUGGGAAUGCAGCUCUAAAUGGGUGGUAAAUUCCAUCUAAAGCUAAAUAUUGGCGAGAGACCGAUAGUGAACAAGUACCGUGAGGGAAAGAUGAAAAGAACUUUGGAAAGAGAGUUAAACAGUAUGUGAAAUUGUUGAAAGGGAAACGCUUGAAGUCAGCUGCGUUGGCUGGGGAUCAAGCCAGCUUAUUUGCUGGGUGUACUUCCUGGUUGACGGGUCAACAUCAGUUUUGACCAUCAGAGAAAGGCAAAGGGAAUGUGGCACCUUUUAGGUGUGUUAUAGCCCUUUGUUGUAUGUGGUGGUUGGGACUGAGGA
Molecule: ribosomal RNA, 499 nt
Filed under: Amanita phalloides var. umbrina
Lineage: Eukaryota; Fungi; Basidiomycota; Agaricomycetes; Agaricales; Amanitaceae
Description: eukaryotic LSU rRNA
Rfam family: Eukaryotic large subunit ribosomal RNA
Source: RNAcentral